UAUCGCGCAAUCGCCUUGAGUUGAUAUGGCUCAGAUUGAACGCUGGCGGAAUGCUUUACACAUGCAAGUCGAGCGGCAGCGCGGGGCAACCUGGCGGCGAGCGGCGAACGGGUGAGUAAUGCAUCGGAACAUGUCCAUGUCGUGGGGGAUAGCCCGGCGAAAGCCGGAUUAAUACCGCAUACGCCCGAGAGGGGAAAGUGGGGGACCGCAAGGCCUCACGCGAUUGGGUUGGCCGAUGUCCGAUUAGCUAGUUGGCGGGGUAAGAGCCCACCACGGCGAUGAUCGGUAGCUGGUCUGAGAGGAUGAUCAGCCACACUGGGACUGAGACACGGCCCAGACUCCUACGGGAGGCAGCAGUGGGGAAUUUUGGACAAUGGGGGCAACCCUGAUCCAGCCAUUCCGCGUGAGUGAAGAAGGCCUUCGGGUUGUAAAGCUCUUUUGUCCGGAACGAAACGGUUAGCGUGAAUAUCGCUGACUACUGACGGUACCGGAAGAAUAAGCACCGGCUAACUACGUGCCAGCAGCCGCGGUAAUACGUAGGGUGCGAGCGUUAAUCGGAAUUACUGGGCGUAAAGCGUGCGCAGGCGGUUUUGUAAGCCAGAUGUGAAAUCCCCGGGCUUAACCUGGGAAUGGCAUUUGGGACUGCAAGGCUUGAGUGCGGCAGAGGAGACUGGAAUUCCUGGUGUAGCAGUGAAAUGCGUAGAUAUCAGGAGGAAUACCGAUGGCGAAGGCANGUCUCUGGGCUGACACUGACGCUCAUGCACGAAAG
RNAcentral lists this ribosomal RNA (769 nucleotides) under uncultured bacterium. RNAcentral describes it as "bacterial SSU rRNA". It matches the Rfam family "Bacterial small subunit ribosomal RNA", at positions 1 to 759 of the family's 1533-position model. The record is from RNAcentral.